Molecule: ribosomal RNA, 468 nt
Filed under: uncultured bacterium
Lineage: Bacteria
Description: partial 16S ribosomal RNA
Rfam family: Bacterial small subunit ribosomal RNA
Source: RNAcentral
GACGAACGCUGGCGGCGUGCUUAACACAUGCAAGUCGAACGGAAAGGCCCUGCUUUUGUGGGGUGCUCGAGUGGCGAACGGGUGAGUAACACGUGAGUAACCUGCCCUUGACUUUGGGAUAACUUCAGGAAACUGGGGCUAAUACCGGAUAGGAGCUCCUGCUGCAUGGUGGGGGUUGGCAAUUUUCGGCGGUCGGGGAUGGACUCGCGGCUUAUCAGCUUGUUGGUGGGGUAGUGGCUUACCAAGGCUUUGACGGGUAGCCGGCCUGAGAGGGUGACCGGCCACAUUGGGACUGAGAUACGGCCCAGACUCCUACGGGAGGCAGCAGUGGGGAAUAUUGCACGAUGGGCGGAAGCCUGAUGCAGCAACGCCGCGUGCGGGAUGACGGCCUUCGGGUUGUAAACCGCUUUCGCCUGUGACGAAGCGUGAGUGACGGUAAUGGGUAAAGAAGCACCGGCUAACUACGUG